This 414-nucleotide non-coding RNA is filed under the name Kluyvera cryocrescens. Lineage: Bacteria; Pseudomonadati; Pseudomonadota; Gammaproteobacteria; Enterobacterales; Enterobacteriaceae. The record is from RNAcentral.
AGAUUAUGCAGCGUGCUAUCUAGCGGUUUGAUCAGCAGGCUGUUGUUGUUCAACGCCACAUCACCCGUCGCGGUCACCAGCUCGCCGUCCAGCGGGAUAUUGAGAUGUAAGCGAGCGCUCACGUCGCCAUCAAUCUGCAACUCAUCAAGCGUUGCCCCUAAGGAUUUACUCAGCGGAGUGCCCUUGAAGUAAGGGCCCACCGCAGCACCCGGGCCGUUAAUAUCGGCGUCAAUCAGCAGCUUCUCUUUGGCGUAAUCUGGAAUCGAGGCGUCCAGAUUGCGGGCAGUGACGCCGCCCAGCAUCGCUUUGUCGGCCUUCAUCCACAGGCCGCUGUUGACAAAGUUCAGCUCAAUAUCCAGGUCAGUAAGCGCCGGCCAGUCCGGCUGGAAAGCAAAAGUGGCGUCGUGUAACGGU